GUAUCUCAACAUUAAUGCAUACGGUGGAUGCCUUGGUCGAAAGUACCGAUGAAGGACGUAUUAGGCUGCGAUAAGCUUCGGGGAGCUGCCAAAAAGCUUUGAUCCGAAGAUUUCCGAAUAGGAUAACUAAUCCAUUUAUUGGAUAUCCUGACAUGAAUUCAUAGUGUCAGGAAGGGUACAGCCCGAACUGAAACAUCUAAGUAAGGCUAGGAAAAGAAAUCAACAGAGAUUCCCCCAGUAGCGGCGAGCGAAAAGGGAGGAGCCCAAACCCCGCCUUUGGCGGGGGGUUGCGGGGUUUACGAUAUAGCAUCAGUCGAAGAUAGUUAAAGUCGCUGGAAAGCGACACCAAAGAAGGUGAUAGUCCUGUAAACGAAAUCUGAAACUGGCUUAGUAAAUACCCAAG
RNAcentral lists this ribosomal RNA (403 nucleotides) under Candidatus Daviesbacteria bacterium. RNAcentral's name for it is "partial 23S ribosomal RNA". It matches the Rfam family "Bacterial large subunit ribosomal RNA", at positions 1 to 412 of the family's 2925-position model. The record is from RNAcentral. Lineage: Bacteria; Candidatus Daviesiibacteriota.